GAUCCUCCUCUCCUUUGCCAUGGGAACAGGGGUGGGGGCGGGAGGUGAGGGAGCCUGCGCUCGGGCUGCCUGGAAAGAGGAAGGAAGCCUGGCAUCUCUGGACACAUGACCCCCAGGCUCUUUUUUGGUGCUUUCCGUGCUCCUUGGCAGAGGGAUAGCUUCAUGACUCUGGCUUUUCGUGAUAAUUUUGCCAAUAUUUUAUCAGCGGCGCCGGCCGCCUCUCCUGGGAAGGCUGCUCGUCUCCUUCUAGCACUGCCUGGGAAGGCCUAGGAAGCAGUGUGUGGCCAUUGUCUGACUGUGGGGGCUCUGAGGAGAACUCCCUGCACACAUCUGGAAAACCAUGGAGGGCCCUGCCUGUCCCAGAGGUGGGAAGAGCAGGGAGGCUGGCCUGUGGGCAGGCGGGAGGGUAGGUGGGUGUGGGCAGGCAGUGGGCUGGGAAGCCGCAGUUUGAUAAACAAAUAAUCGCCAAGCCACCUUUGGGUCUGGAGAUUGUGAAAGAUCCAGCUCCCGAGUGCCUGCAGCCCGGUGGGCCCAGGGCUGGUUUCUCUAUGUACCUGCAGGCUGGUUAGCUAUCCUUGAGAACAAGAAGACAGGAACAGCCCUUUGGCCAAGGGCUCUAACAUGCCAGAGGCAACAACUGCUUGCAGAGCCAGGACCAGAUAUUUUGCUGCCAGCUAGAGCUGAGCAACAAGGCCAGAACUAUCAAGACCUUAUUGAAGCUGUAUCCAGCCAAAACCUACUAUUUCCUCACACACCCCACCCCACCCCCACCUCCUAGCAUGGAAGAGAAAAAAAAAAGCAAAAGCUACUGAGAUGAAAAUAAAAUAUAUUUAUUUACUA
Long non-coding RNA from Homo sapiens (human), 840 nucleotides. RefSeq lists it as uncharacterized. Lineage: Eukaryota; Metazoa; Chordata; Mammalia; Primates; Hominidae. The transcript is spliced from 2 exons. The record is from RefSeq and is a predicted model, not a curated record.